GAGUCAAUAUGAUUAGCGCUAGUAUAACAGAAUUCUGGCUGCUGCCCUUUGUCAUAUCUUAACAAACAAACACUUUUUGUAUUUUUUUUUUUCUGUUUAGAAAAAGAGCAGAAGAUGGAGAGUCUGGUGAAUUCGAAUGAGAUUAGCAGAUUAAAAUGAAUACAGAGACUAUAUCCAUAGCAUUAUAUGAGUUUCAGUUCAUCAGUGGAGCAUCACAGUUUAUCAGGUGGAGGAAAAACCAGGAGGAAUGGAAGAGAUCACAGCACACCUGAAGAAAAGUAGGUCCAGUCUCCACCAGGGAUUGAGAGUUUUUUCGGUGUGGGUACAGGAUCCAUGAAUGAAAACACCAUCUUUGUUCCCAUCAACGGCAUUGGAUGCAAAGCCGUUUCCAUAGAGGGAAGUCUGUGUAGCUCUCCCUUUUAAAGCCACAUUUUCACCUAAAACGACAGAUGAGUUCCAAGUGAAUGAACAAAUAACUUGUCUUACAGUCUAGAAUACAU
Molecule: long non-coding RNA, 500 nt
Organism: Onychostoma macrolepis
Lineage: Eukaryota; Metazoa; Chordata; Actinopteri; Cypriniformes; Cyprinidae
Exons: 3
Source: RefSeq, a predicted model, not a curated record